Molecule: ribosomal RNA, 253 nt
Filed under: uncultured bacterium
Lineage: Bacteria
Description: partial 16S ribosomal RNA
Rfam family: Bacterial small subunit ribosomal RNA
Source: RNAcentral
UACGUAGGGGGCUAGCGUUGUCCGGAAUCAUUGGGCGUAAAGCGCGUGUAGGCGGCCCGGUAAGUCCGCUGUGAAAGUCGGGGGCUCAACCCUCGAAUGCCGGUGGAUACUGUCGGGCUAGAGUGCGGGAGAGGCGAGUGGAAUUCCUGGUGUAGCGGUGAAAUGCGCAGAUAUCAGGAAGAACACCCGUGGCGAAGGCGGCUCUCUGGGACGGUACUGACGCUGAGACGCGAAAGCGUGGGGAGCGAACAGG